Non-coding RNA from Taeniopygia guttata (zebra finch), 5500 nucleotides. The record is from RefSeq and is a predicted model, not a curated record. Lineage: Eukaryota; Metazoa; Chordata; Aves; Passeriformes; Estrildidae.
CUUUUAUGAAAUGUAUAAAGUGUUUACACUCCUUGAUAAAUUCUUUGAUGUACAGAUUUUCCACCAUGUUCAAAUGAAGAGUCUUAAGUACAAGGAACUAUUAUUACUAAAAUACCUUAUCCUGACUUCAUAAAAACCAACUUGAUACCUCAUUUUACAUCUGAAUUACAAUACUAUAUAUAUAACUAUAUAGCAUUUAUUAGCAUUUUUUCCAAAUAACAGUGUUAACCUAAGGCUUCUGGAUUUCACUAAAAUUAUUUCUUAUAAUAGUUAUUACAGAGAAGUGUCUCACUAUUGGUUAGAAUAAACUUUAUAAAACCAGUCUGAAGAAAAUGGGAAUGACUCCAAACCCACUGGUUCUCUAUACUGUUGUGGGCAAAACUGUAAAUUAAGUGGAAUAUCCUUCCAACUCUUUGCUUAUAACAUCACAAUUACUUCCAUAUCGCAAUAUUCUCCAUUAAGCAAGAGAAACUUCUAAGAGGAAAUAUUCUCAUGAAAUGCAUUUUUAUUCUUAGGUAUGUUUAGUUUAGGCUCCAAACAGAACUAAUUAAUGCAGAAAGCAUUAAAAUAAACAAUGCAUCUGUCUAGAAAACAGAUAUAUUAUUACUUAUGAAGAAAAAAGAGAGAUACUUUUUUUCGUGCUAUUACAGAUUAGUUACUGCAGUCAUGCUGCAUUAUGCUACUGUGCACUUCAACUGCUAAAUGUUAGCUACUAAAGAGAUACAACUACAACAGCAUUUAAAUCACACUACUAUUAUUGUUGGAUAAUUAGAUGAAAUUUCUAAUUCCUACUUGGUAUUUAAAAACCCACAUCAUGUCUUACCUCUAGAAAUAUAUUUUGUGGAUGAACAAUAAUGCAAGAGGGCAUUAGAUGAAACUGGUUGAAACUGUAGAGUUCAGAAACGCCCAGGUUUCCAGGAAAUGUCAAGAAAUAUAGAGAGUUAUUGAUUCUGCACUUGAAUUUCUCAAGUUAUUAGUUUGGAUAUCAGCCAAUCCAACAUAGUCUGUGACUGGCUUAGAACAACGGAUUUGACAAAGAUAUUUUUAAAGCUAACCCUUAAAAGCAUCAUAACUAAUCACAGUUUUAGCUACAACAGUUGUAGUGUUGGGCUCAAACUAUUUUAGAUACUUUCUAAAUAAUUAUAGCAAAACAACUCCAUUAGCAACUCCUGAAGUCGCCUUUGCAUAAACUCACUCCAUUAUUUGCUGGUGCUGUGGAAUGUUGGAGGGAGGUAGUUGACGACCAUUAAAACCUGGUAGACAACAAGUGUUUCCUGUAUGCAGAAGGCAAGCAUGAGUCUUCUCCCCUGCCUCUUAUCUACCGCUUCCCGCUUCCCUCCCACGCCUUCUUGGCACCGGCUGGGAAAGGCUGGGAAUACAGAUCUCUCCUACUCUGCAGGGUUUUUCUCUAGCUACCUACCCUUUUCUGCAGGUGAUUCCAUCGUUUUUCUCUUCUGCAACCCAGGCUUUCCCAGCUGGCUACAUGGUGAACCUGACAAAGCUUUUCAGUUUCCCAGCCGUGCACAAGGCUCUGAACAGCAGUCAGCAACAAGCAGGGGGAGCUUCUCUUUUGCUUGGCAGACACUUGGAAAAAAACCCUCACAAACUGUCUUCACAUCUCCCAUCUUUGGAAAGUGGGAGUCUUUUUCAGAGUCAGAAAUUUAUCUAAUAAAAGCUGUCUGACACAACAGAUAAAAAAAGAUAACCCUUAGUCUUUUCAGAAACAAUACCAUCAAAACUACCCUGGAGAAGAGGGAGGGGAAUAUCCAGAAUUACCUCUGUGAUUUUCAAAUCACAAAUUUCUCCAGAGGAGACGUAAAAAAACUAAACAGAUCUUCAUGUUCUUUUAAUCUGAACUCUGGUUGCUAAACAUUUAUGGCAUAGUUUGUCAGACUUUUCAGACUUUUCAAAAGCUAAACUUUUUAAUCUCUAUUUUCCUCUGAGACAAUUAUUCUCUUUUUUUUUUUUUCCAGAAAAUAUAUCCUAGAAAGCAAAAUAGUAAAAGGAAAAGAACAAAAAAAAAAAAAAAAAAAAAAAAAAAAAAGAAAAAAAAGAAGGGAGAGGAGAAUUCUAAAGAUAGGAGAGGAAAAGAAGAUAAAUUUUCAUUUGCACGUCAUAAGAUAUGAUUCAGAGGAAAUUAAGAUUUCAAACUUCCAUCAUAAAAAAGACAAAGUCUGUAGUAGAAAACAUUACAUUCUAUUUAAAUCUUUAGAUAUAGUAACCACAACAAACUGGAAACUUAUCUGGUGAAAUGCUACCCCGCUGUGAUUUUAAAAAUUCUAUGAACAAUACUAGUUUGUAAGAAUGGUAGAUUUCUUUUACAAUCUCUAGAUCUUAUUGAACUGUUGUUUAGGCAGUUUGGUUUUUUAAGUGGGUCAUGCUUUGCUUUUGCAGAUCUUGAACCAUGGCAGAUUGAGUGCCUGUUUUAAAGAGGAAAUAUGGCUGAAUUGAGGACACCUGUUAUCCUCUUCUGUUAAAGAAUAAUAUCUUUGUAUCCAGAGCAUCUCUGCUGCAGUGUUAUGAAUGCUUGCUGUGUCCUGGGAAACCUGGGCAAAAUGAUGCUUGACCAAAGGUUUGUAUCAUAAGUAAUCCUUAAUUCUGUCAUGUGUCUCAGAUCAAUUGUGUUUGAAAGGCAAUACUACUACAAGUCACUUAAUCUUUUAGGGAUGCAAAUAUCAGAAUUAUAGUUCUUUAAGCAGAGACAUAAAAUAAACCUGACUUACAGCAGAAUCCUUGAAAAGCACAAACCUUUUAUCAUGUAACUGAUUGCAUUUAAAUGACAGAAACUGCUUGUUCUGUCUUCUGAACACUCCUACUUCCAUUUUUUGGGAUAGCUUUCUUUCUUAUCUGCUGUGAAUUUAAUCUAAAAUAAUUAAUUGUUCUUGAUUUGUGGUUUUAGCUUAUUUUUGUGCCAUUUCUCCUGUCUAGCCCUCCUUUCCUCUUGUCCCCUCUUCCCUCCUCCCAUCAAGUCCUUAACAAAGAGCAGACACAGGUAAAGCAAAGGAUGUGCAAUUAUCACAUCCCAAAAGCAAAUGGGCUUGAGGUACAUAAAUUAAUUAUUACAUAAAUUCAUUAUUAUUUUCCAUGAAAACAGACAUAGUAUCUAGGCUCUAUCAGAGCAAUAAGCCUUACCAAUGCUGACUUACAACUGCAGCUGGCUGCCCAAGUGUCCUGAUUCAGCAUUCCUACAAGUACAACAGCACCCAUGCACUAUUAAAAGUAACAUAAGGGCUCUGCCACUCCUAUAUUUUUAAGUGUUAAUGUUGAGAAAGGUCUAUGUUAAAAGACAUAACUAUACAUUACUAAAAUUGAAAAAAUUAACAAAAGCAAAGUUCAGUCCUCCACUCUUAGUGCUGUUCUUUAGGAAGAUCUCACCUACAUGUGCAUUCUUGCUGGCAGGUAGUAUUACACGAAGACUAUCUGGACAUGCUGGGGUUAAUUCUGUUUUGUUUGCAUGAUCCUGAGCACCUCUUUCAGUUAAAUAUACUUAUGCUAGUCAACAGUGCCAUUAUGUCUCUGUAGAUCAUGCUCUUAAUAUUCUCUCUGCAGAAAAUCUUUGAUAGAAGCUAUAUUAAAAUUAUUCCCCCUUUGUUUUGUGGGUUUUAGCAUUUGCCAUGCCAUUUCAGUUUACUGGUUUAUGACACUACUCACCAAACUGUGGACAAGUAAAUUAAUAUACAGUGGCUUCUUGGAACACAAGUGUUUGUGCGAGACAUCACUGUGACUUAAAUUGUCAGCAUUUAAAUUCUGUCCCAGUUCUGCAUUUCCUGGCUUCCAUAAUGAUUUCAGUACUCCCUAAAUUCUGGAGUUUUUUCUUAAUGUUUAUGAUGAUGUUGUGUUUUUAAUUAUGAAUUGCAUACUUAUCAACUAAAUAAAUCUGCAAAAAUACUUCUGUAUUAUCGCAUACUAUUGCAAAACAGAGCAUGACUCAUAGCUAAACACCCUAAAAAUUUUUAAAAGUUUUAGGGACAGAGCAAAUUAAAUAUUUGUUAAGUAUAUAAAUGCUUUGUCAACCCUAUAGGAAAUGUUGGCAUGGCCAGGGCAAAAUGAAGCAUUCUUUUUCCCUUCCCACAUUUCUCCACCCUACUCAACUGGUUUGGUUUGAGAAUUUGAUUACUUCUCUGCCAUGAAUUUCAAAGUAAAGACUUCAGUGUUCUUUUCCUAUUAACAUUACUUUCUUGUCCAAAUCACAUCAUGGUUGCAGCCCAAGAAUAGGAACAAAUUGCUUUGAAAGGACAAUAAGGAAUUAGUGUGCUGGUCAGCACUAUAGCAUCCUAUUAAAAGCCAUACAGACAAGGGAUAAUGUACUGUUCUGAAUGUUGUCAAAGGACUCUCAUGUGAUCCAUGCUUCACCACAUCUGUUCUUUUUCCAUUCUCUCUAUAUACUGUUUUCUUCAACUGAUACAAAUAUGUCAUGACAGCAAUCCCAAAGCCAUGGCUUAUGAAUAAUAUCCCCCAAAAAUCCUUCAGUUCAUAUGUACAUUUAAAUAUACACCCAUACAUGCAUAUCUGUAUAUGUUUAUAAAUAAAAAUGUAAAUAAAAUUACUUCACCUAUUUUAGCCUAUAAAAUAUUUAUUGCUGUAUUUUUGAUUUAUUUAAAUUAAAGAAAUAUAUUUAUUCAGAUUUCCCAUAAAUUAGUGAACCAGAGGCACAUCACAUGUAGGUAACUCUCACAAGCAGACCCAUCUAGAUAAAGAACUUAAAAGUUAUACUUUAAAUUUAAAACAUGGGAAGCUACUCUCUCCUCUGUAGGGAUGAUAAUGGGGAGCAACAGUAAAAAGUAGCCCUAGCAGAGUGAGCACAAAUAUGAGUAACUGAAAAGGGAGCAGUGAAUGCCAGCUUUAUAAUAGAUUAUCAAGGGAUAAUCUAUGAAUUUUUGAAUCUGUGUCUAUUAGCAAGGGAGAAUUCCUAGUAGGAAAAAAAAAAAUAAAAAGGAAGAAAGAAAAAAGGAAAGGAAAAUGAUUCAACUGGUUAAGCCUGGGAGGGAGGUAGAAGAUGUGACCAUUAUUUCAGGGAAACAAGUUACACUUGCAGAAGGAUGGUGGCUGGAACCACCACUCAGUAGCAAAUGACCUGUCUACUCUGAACACUCACUCUCAGUGAGGUGCACAACCACCCUGAGUGACCCAUGCCAUAUUUCCCACACAAAGAAUAACAGUAAUUUUACCAGGUAACAAACACAAAAGUUAUACCAAAGAAGAGGGGAAAAAAAAAAGUUGAGCAUUAAGAGUCAAGCACAUAGAAAGUCUGGCAAGAAUCCAGACAUGCAGCACAACACUGAGCAGGCUUUUUUCCCCUGUCUUUUUCCAGGUAAUGCAAUAAAAAUUUGUCCUGAUGCAACAUUUAAUUAUCUGGAAAGAUAUAACCUAUUCCAAACAGCUGAGGGAGGACCUAUCCAGAUUGUAAAAGAAAACAAAACAAAACCAAGGAGAAACCCAGCCCCCUGCCUCACCUAGGCCUCUCUUAGGUAACUGCCUUCCUAAAACUCACCUUCAUCCC